GUUUGAGCGAGUUGCUGAACAGCACCGGUGUGGUGUAUAUAUCCGCAAUGGGAACAUUUAAUGCAUCAGACGAGUGGUGGGAAAGAAAGAUUCAGGUAAAGUGCAAUUGACCGUCUCUGUUUUCCACUUCUCCAUCUUUCCAGAUUGUGGGGAUUUUUAGUAUUGUUGUUAUUCAUGUAUUGUAGUAUAUAUUAAGGAUGUAACUGUUUUGUUUCUUUUGAAUUUUAAAAGAAUUGAGAAAUAUUGGAGCUUAUUAAACUUAGACAAUGAAUUACUUGUUCGUGUGGUAGGAUGAAAUGGUUAUUCGAACUAAGGGAAAUUUGUGUACUGUUAACCUUUUUUCUUAAGAUAAAUUUUUCAUGAGAGAGGAGAAGAGGGGGAGAGAGAGCAAGAUAGUAGUCAUGUGAAGAAGAGAGAAACAAAAUCCACAUAAUUACAAUGACAGUGAUGAUUCUGAUACCGACGAAGGAGGUGCAGAAGAAGAGGAUGAAAAUUUUAUCCCCAACUGUAAAACCAUACACGGCGGUUCUGGCCGGAAGGGGUGGUGGUUCUGGGGGAAAAUCCUGGAAUGUAGGGUCACAUGGGUUCAAGAAUGGGACAGAAUUUUCCUCUUAGUAUGCACUGCUGGUCUAUUUGUAGAUCCUCUCUUCUUCUAUACCCUCUCAAUAAGUGAAAACUGCAUGUGCCUUUUCGUCGACGGGUGGUUCGCUAUAAACUUGACGAUUCUCCAGUGCAUGACAGACGCCUUGCACCUCUGGAACAUGUGGCUUCAUUUCAAAAUUAACCGUAUAAUAAAAUUCAUUCAUGCCAAUAAAAUUAUAUCCAUUUCUUUUCUUCUUGAAGCUUGCUAU
RNAcentral lists this long non-coding RNA (851 nucleotides) under Olea europaea subsp. europaea. Lineage: Eukaryota; Viridiplantae; Streptophyta; Magnoliopsida; Lamiales; Oleaceae. The record is from RNAcentral.